RNAcentral lists this unclassified non-coding RNA (305 nucleotides) under plant metagenome. Its description in RNAcentral is "partial contains 5.8S ribosomal RNA, internal transcribed spacer 2, and large subunit ribosomal RNA". The stretch from base 1 to 105 matches the Rfam family "5.8S ribosomal RNA", at positions 50 to 154 of the family's 154-position model. The record is from RNAcentral.
GAAAUGCGAUAAGUAGUGUGAAUUGCAGAAUUCAGUGAAUCAUCGAAUCUUUGAACGCACAUUGCGCCCUUUGGUAUUCCUUAGGGCAUGCCUGUUCGAGCGUCAUCUAAACCUUCAAGCCCUGCUUGGUGUUGGGUGCCUGUCCCGCCUCCGCGCGCGGACUCACCGCAAAUCCAUUGGCGGCCCCCGCGUCGGCCACGAGCGCAGCAGAAACGCGAACUCGUGAGCCCGUCCGGGCGGCUCCCAGAAGCUACACCCACCCAGUUUGACCUCGGAUCAGGUAGGGAUACCCGCUGAACUUAAGC